GAUGAACGCUGGCGGCGUGCCUAAUACAUGCGAGUCGAGCGAACAGACGAGGAGCUUGCUCCUCUGACGUUAGCGGCGGACGGGUGAGUAACACGUGGAUAACCUACCUAUAAGACUGGGAUAACUUCGGGAAACCGGAGCUAAUACCGGAUAAUAUAUUGAACCGCAUGGUUCAAUAGUGAAAGACGGUUUUGCUGUCACUUAUAGAUGGAUCCGCGCCGCAUUAGCUAGUUGGUAAGGUAACGGCUUACCAAGGCAACGAUGCGUAGCCGACCUGAGAGGGUGAUCGGCCACACGGGAACUGAGACACGGUCCAGACUCCUACGGGAGGCAGCAGUAGGGAAUCUUCCGCAAUGGGCGAAAGCCUGACGGAGCAACGCCGCGUGAGUGAUGAAGGUCUUCGGAUCGUAAAACUCUGUUAUUAGGGAAGAACAAAUGUGUAAGUAACUAUGCACGUCUUGACGGUACCUAAUCAGAAAGCCACGGCUAACUACGUG
This 497-nucleotide ribosomal RNA is filed under the name uncultured bacterium. Its description in RNAcentral is "partial 16S ribosomal RNA". It matches the Rfam family "Bacterial small subunit ribosomal RNA", at positions 28 to 507 of the family's 1533-position model. The record is from RNAcentral.